This 1392-nucleotide long non-coding RNA is filed under the name Monodelphis domestica (gray short-tailed opossum). RNAcentral describes it as "lncRNA (ENSMODG00000036020.2)". Lineage: Eukaryota; Metazoa; Chordata; Mammalia; Didelphimorphia; Didelphidae. The record is from RNAcentral.
AUGAGAAGAACUAUAAAAGGAGAGAAGGAAGUUUGGCUUUUUGAAGAACUCAGGAUGAGCAAGAAGAGGACAGUCCACCAGGCAACAUGCCAAGAAAUCAUUCUAUAUUAUAAACAAAGGACAGGGAAUAUGUUGAUUUGCAUCAUGGAGGGAUUGAUCCAUGGGGGCCCAGACCUUGAAGAAUGUGCAGACAUUUUGUGCCUGAUGACAAACCAACAACAAUGAAUACUGGUUUCAGCUAUAAGGACUCAAGGAUUGUACUAUGGAGAUUAGAUCCACAUGGACCCAGAAUUCAGGAAGCAUCUCAGAGCCACCUUUGGAGACAAAGGAUUGAUUCUCCCCUGACUUGACCCAUUGGAUGCUUUUCUUUCCUGGUGGUAAGUGAGGCAAGAAUGACUGUGAGCCUACAAGUGGAAAGGGCAUCAGUGAGACCUUUCCAAACCCAAUAUGGACCCCACAAUGGUAUGUCGGACUGCAUGGUGAAUCUUGCUUUUGCAAUUCUUCUUUUCUCAUCAACCUGGUUACAAGCUUGGGGGAUCUGAAAAGUAAGAAGCUACUAAGUUUGUUUCAGAGAGUGGCAACAACAGUGGACAAAUGGCUUCCUUGCUCAUCUGAGCUAGUUCUUCCUAAGACUUGCCUACCAUUGGUCCAGGCUCUUGUGGUUUUUGCUACAGACUCUGUUUUCUUUAAAGCCUUAAUUUCUGUCUUAGUAUCAGUUCUAAGAGAGAAAAGCAGCAAGAGCUAGACAAUGGGGGUUAAGUGACUUGCCCAGGGUAAUACAGAUGGGAAGUGUUUGAAGUCAGAUUUGAACCUACAUCUUUGUGACUCCAGGUCUGGCUCUCUAUUCACCAUGCUAUCUAGCUGUCCUAUAAGUAUCUUUUUAUUUAAAAAAAAAAAGCUAAAUAAUGCCAUUUGAUCCAAGGGGAAAUAACACCAGACUCCAGUUCAAGGAGCCAUGACCCCUCAAUGUAAACCCCUAAAACCCUGAGAAAAGCAGAAAUCAGCUGACAUAUGAAGAUCAAACCUUCCAGUGUGAGUGGGGAUGGACGGAGAAUACACAAAAGGGAUGAUGCUACUCCUGAAUUGCACAAUAGGUCAAAGGGAAUGAGCAGAGAUUUCAUAGCAUCCAUGUAACUUCCUACACUUUAACCUUAAAAAUCCAUUUCACAAAUACCAGAUUGGGGUCUCUACUCACCACACUAUGGUGCCUCUUAUGCUUCUGCUCGUAACAAAGUUUAAAACAUAGGCAGGCUCCUGGAAUAAUUCCUCUGGAGGGAGUAAUGAAGCAUACCAAGCUACACUAAGGCAUGAUUUGAAAAGAGAGUCUAGUGGGGGGGAAAUGAGCUCUGUAAUAUGACCCAACUUAAAUAAAAAUGACAUUUAUGUUAACCA